Molecule: unclassified non-coding RNA, 21 nt
Filed under: Mus musculus (house mouse)
Lineage: Eukaryota; Metazoa; Chordata; Mammalia; Rodentia; Muridae
Description: oocyte_clustered_small_RNA8641
Source: RNAcentral
UGGAAAUGCACUCGUCUUGAC